AUUGAACGCUGGCGGCAUGCUUUACACAUGCAAGUCGAACGGUAACAGGGAGCUUGCUCCGCUGACGAGUGGCGAACGGGUGAGUAAUGCAUCGGAACGUGCCUAUUUGUGGGGGAUAACGUAGCGAAAGUUACGCUAAUACCGCAUACGCCCUGAGGGGGAAAGCGGGGGCUUCGUAAGAACCUCGCGCAAUUAGAGCGGCCGAUGUCGGAUUAGCUAGUUGGUGGGGUAAAGGCUCACCAAGGCGACGAUCCGUAGCGGGUCUGAGAGGAUGAUCCGCCACACUGGGACUGAGACACGGCCCAGACUCCUACGGGAGGCAGCAGUGGGGAAUUUUGGACAAUGGGCGAAAGCCUGAUCCAGCCAUGCCGCGUGAGUGAAGAAGGCCUUCGGGUUGUAAAGCUCUUUCAGCCGGAAAGAAAUCGCGCAGGCUAAUACUCUGCGUGGAUGACGGUACCGGAAGAAGAAGCACCGGCUAACUACGUG
This 486-nucleotide ribosomal RNA is filed under the name uncultured bacterium. Its description in RNAcentral is "bacterial SSU rRNA". It matches the Rfam family "Bacterial small subunit ribosomal RNA", at positions 30 to 507 of the family's 1533-position model. The record is from RNAcentral.